AAGGGCGUGGGAGGUCUCUGACCUGACACUAUGGGAGACAAAAGAGGUGAUAACUUCGAAGGUAUGAGCACUGAAUGCCUUAAACUGGAGUUAUUGGAAGAAAUCCAUAAGAAAAACUUAGUAGAACUCUCAAUAAUUGAAAUAAGACAAAACAUAGUAGAACUGGAAGCCAAACUCAAUACUGACAAGGAAGGCAGUGAAUGGAAAAUCCGUUAUGAGACACAACUUGAACUGAAUGAUCAUCUAGAAAAGCAAAUUAUUACUCUCAAAGAAAAACUGGAAAAAAUCCGUGCAAAUCCUUCAGAUAGACUAUCUUCCAUUCGUGUCUAUGAAAGAAUGCCAGUGGAAUCCUUAAUUACAUUACUUACACAGCUGGAAAAAGAAAAAAGGAUUCUUGAAAAUCAAGUGAAAGACUGUGCACUUAGACUGGAACAAGAAUCAAAGGCUUACCACAGGGCCAUUGAUGAACGCCGUAUAUACCUAGCUAAAAUGUCUCAGGUCUCUGGCUCACACCAAGUUUCUAAAAGGCAACAGAUGGAUCAACUGCAUAGAAAGAAAGAUAAUCUAGUGAAAAUCGGAAGACAUAAUCCAGGUAAUCAGAAGUUAGCAAAUGCCAAGAAAGAACCAGCAAAAAAGAUUACAAGAUCAAACCAUCUUCCAAAACUCAACCCAUGAUUCCAGAACUGAGUGGAUUUCUAUUUCUUCCCUUUUUUCAUCUGUAAUAUUCAACUUGUGAAGUUAAUGUUCAAGACAUUUUUCAGGGAAUGAAAUAGAUAAGAAAGAGCUAUUAAACCUCUUUAGCUCCUCUUCCAGAAGUUUGUUCCUUUGUCUGCAUGAAAGUAA
Non-coding RNA from Ceratotherium simum simum (southern white rhinoceros), 843 nucleotides. NCBI's taxonomy places the organism in Eukaryota, Metazoa, Chordata, Mammalia, Perissodactyla, Rhinocerotidae. The record is from RefSeq and is a predicted model, not a curated record.